Non-coding RNA from Paramuricea clavata, 488 nucleotides. The record is from the annotation of a GenBank genome assembly. Lineage: Eukaryota; Metazoa; Cnidaria; Anthozoa; Malacalcyonacea; Plexauridae.
CUUCCAUUGGCGAAGAUAAUAAAUUAGUUGAAGACGAAAGAACGCCUUGAGAUGUAGAAAACAUUGCAGAUACAGACGAAGUGGAAGGUAUUUCCUUUGUAAAAGAACUUAAAUGAUCCGCAGAUAAUUCACGACUUGACGGCGUUAUGGUGGUAUUCCCAAUUGUUUUAGUAACAACCAUACUUGUAUAAAAUAGAGUGAGCGUACUUGGAAAUAACGUUGAAGAAGAAAAUGAAGAACUUCUUGGAGGGAAAGAGGAUAUUAAUGUGGAUGAAUGAAUAGUUAGAGUAACAUUGCCUUCCAUUGGCGAAGACAAUAAAUGAGUUGAAGAUGAAUGAACGCCUUGAUAUGUGGAAAACAUUGCAGAUGGAAGAGAAAAAUGUGAUGUAGUAUUAGACAACUCAGCUGUAGAUGAAUUAACAGAAGAUGUAGCUGGUACAGAAUUGCUGCGUCUUGAAGAGGAAGUUAAGCUAUCAGUUGACGACGAA